Molecule: ribosomal RNA, 253 nt
Filed under: uncultured bacterium
Lineage: Bacteria
Description: partial 16S ribosomal RNA
Rfam family: Bacterial small subunit ribosomal RNA
Source: RNAcentral
UACGAAGGUCCCAAGCGUUAUCCGGAUUUAUUGGGUUUAAAGGGUGCGUAGGCGGGUUAUUAAGUCAGUGGUGAAAGCUCCCAGCUCAACUGGGAAACUGCCAUUGAUACUGAUAAUCUUGAGUAUGAUUGAAGUGGGCGGAAUGUGUCAUGUAGCGGUGAAAUGCUUAGAUAUGACACAGAACACCGAUUGCGAAGGCAGCUCACUAAGCCAUAACUGACGCUGAUGCACGAAAGCGUGGGGAGCAAACAGG